This 364-nucleotide RNase P RNA is filed under the name Candidatus Woesearchaeota archaeon. Its description in RNAcentral is "RNase P RNA component". It matches the Rfam family "Archaeal RNase P". Rfam says of the family: Ribonuclease P (RNase P) is a ubiquitous endoribonuclease, found in archaea, bacteria and eukarya as well as chloroplasts and mitochondria. Its best characterised activity is the generation of mature 5'-ends of tRNAs by cleaving the 5'-leader elements of precursor-tRNAs. Lineage: Archaea; Nanobdellati; Candidatus Woesearchaeota. The record is from RNAcentral.
UAGGGUCAGUACUUAGCUGACGGUGUUAUUAUCAUAAUAACGCUGAGGAAAGUCCACCCACUUAGGUUUUUGCCUAAUAGACACUUGUGGAAGCAAGAUCCAGAGAUGGAUGGCAACCACUCAGAAACGAGACCACCAUAAAACAGUAUGAUGCUUGCGAAGUUUUUGGUGACAAAAACAAGUUGACCAGCUGACGUUUUUUAUGGAAAGGAUGAAACGGUGAGUCCUGUUUGGUGCAAGUCAGUGAAUUCCAAAUUUCGCAAGAAAUUCAGAGUAUUCCAGCACGCUUAGUUAAAUGCUAAGACAGAUGAUGGCAACAUUGUUGCUAAAAACAUCUGACAGAAGGUGGCUUAUUCUGGCCCUA